RNAcentral lists this ribosomal RNA (433 nucleotides) under uncultured bacterium. RNAcentral's name for it is "partial 16S ribosomal RNA". It matches the Rfam family "Bacterial small subunit ribosomal RNA", at positions 29 to 507 of the family's 1533-position model. The record is from RNAcentral.
AACGAACGCUGGCGGCAUGCCUAACACAUGCAAGUCGAACGAGACCUUCGGGUCUAGUGGCGCACGGGUGCGUAACGCGUGGGAACCUGCCCUUAGGUUCGGAAUAACUCCCCGAAAGGGGUGCUAAUACCGGAUAAUGUCUUCGGACCAAAGAUUUAUCGCCUUUGGAUGGGCCCGCGUUGGAUUAGCUAGUUGGUAGGGUAAAAGCCUACCAAGGCGACGAUCCAUAGCUGGUCUGAGAGGAUGAUCAGCCACACUGGGACUGAGACACGGCCCAGAAUCCUAAGGGAGGCAGGAGUGGGGGAUAUUGGAACAUGGGGGAAAGGCUGAUCCAGGAAUGGCGGGUGAGUGAUGAAGGGCUUAAGGUUGGAAAGCUCUUUUACCCGGGAUGAUAAUGACAGUACCGGGAGAAUAAGCUCCGGCUAACUCCGUG